Molecule: ribosomal RNA, 253 nt
Filed under: uncultured bacterium
Lineage: Bacteria
Description: partial 16S ribosomal RNA
Rfam family: Bacterial small subunit ribosomal RNA
Source: RNAcentral
UACGUAGGGUGCAAGCGUUGCCCGGAUUUAUUGGGCGUAAAGGGCGCGUAGGCGGCUCGGCACGUCCGUUGUGAAAUCGCCCGGCUCAACUGGGCGGGGUCAGCGGAUACGGUCGAGCUUGAGCAAGCUAGGGGGCAACGGAAUUCCCGGUGUAGUGGUGGAAUGCGUAGAUAUCAGGAGGAACACCUGUGGUGUAGACAGCUUACUGGACCAUUUCUGACGCUGAGACACGAAAGCGUGGGUAGCAAACAGG